RNAcentral lists this transfer RNA (78 nucleotides) under Aeropyrum pernix. It matches the Rfam family "tRNA". From Rfam's summary of the family: Transfer RNA (tRNA) molecules are approximately 80 nucleotides in length. Lineage: Archaea; Thermoproteati; Thermoproteota; Thermoprotei; Acidilobales; Acidilobaceae. The record is from RNAcentral. RNAcentral also lists the same sequence under 2 other names.
GCCCGGGUAGCUCAGCCUGGAUAGAGCGCCGGACUGUGGAUCCGGAGGUCCCGGGUUCAAAUCCCGGCCCGGGCCCCA